RNAcentral lists this ribosomal RNA (248 nucleotides) under uncultured bacterium. RNAcentral's name for it is "partial 16S ribosomal RNA". It matches the Rfam family "Bacterial small subunit ribosomal RNA", at positions 88 to 339 of the family's 1533-position model. The record is from RNAcentral.
GUACUUAGCGGCGGACGGGUGAGUAACGCGUAGGAAUCUACCCAGUAGUGGGGGAUAGCCCGGGGAAACUCGGAUUAAUACCGCAUACGCCCUACGGGGGAAAGGCCGGGAUCUUCGGACCGGUCGCUAUUGGAUGAGCCUGCGUUGGAUUAGCUAGUUGGUGAGGUAAAGGCUCACCAAGGCGACGAUCCUUAGCUGGUCUGAGAGGAAGACCAGCCACAUUGGGACUGAGACACGGCCCAAACUCC